RNAcentral lists this RNase P RNA (368 nucleotides) under Candidatus Nitricoxidivorans perseverans. RNAcentral's name for it is "RNase P RNA component class A". It matches the Rfam family "Bacterial RNase P class A". Rfam says of the family: Ribonuclease P (RNase P) is a ubiquitous endoribonuclease, found in archaea, bacteria and eukarya as well as chloroplasts and mitochondria. Its best characterised activity is the generation of mature 5'-ends of tRNAs by cleaving the 5'-leader elements of precursor-tRNAs. The record is from RNAcentral. Lineage: Bacteria; Pseudomonadati; Pseudomonadota; Betaproteobacteria; Nitrosomonadales; Sterolibacteriaceae.
GAAGUCCGCCAGGCAGCCGCGGCACCUUCGGGUGUCGAGGAAAGUCCGGGCCCCAUAGAGCGGGAUGCUGGCUAACGGCCAGGCGCAGCAAGCUUCGCAAGAGGCCCAAGGCGACGGAAAGUGCAACAGAAAGAUACCGCCGAUGGCUCCGCAAGGAGAUCAGGCAAGGGUGAAAUGGCGGGGUAAGAGCCCACCGCGUUUCCAGCAAUGGCAACGGCACGGCAAACCCCAUCCGGGGCAAGGCCAAAUAGGGAAGCAUUGGCGUGGCUCGCGCCGCUUCCGGGUAGGCUGCUUGAGGCUGUCGGCAACGACAGUCCCAGAGGAAUGGUUGCCCACGACAGAACCCGGCUUAUCGGCGGACUUCCACC